ACGCACGCUGGCGGCCUGCCUCACACCUUCAAGUCGAACGAGACCUUCGGGUCUAGUGGCGCACGGGUGCGUCACGCGUGGGAACCUGCCCUUAGGUUCGGAAUAACUCCCCGAAAGGGGUGCUAAUACCGGAUAAUGUCUUCGGACCAAAGAUUUAUCGCCUUUGGAUGGGCCCGCGUUGGAUUAGCUAGUUGGUAGGGUAAAAGCCUACCAAGGCGACGAUCCAUAGCUGGUCUGAGAGGAUGAUCAGCCACACUGGGACUGAGACACGGCCCAGACUCCUACGGGAGGCAGCAGUGGGGAAUAUUGGACAAUGGGCGAAAGCCUGAUCCAGCAAUGCCGCGUGAGUGAUGAAGGCCUUAGGGUUGUAAAGCUCUUUUACCCGGGAUGAUAAUGACAGUACCGGGAGAAUAAGCUCCGGCUAACUCCGUG
RNAcentral lists this ribosomal RNA (432 nucleotides) under uncultured bacterium. RNAcentral's name for it is "partial 16S ribosomal RNA". It matches the Rfam family "Bacterial small subunit ribosomal RNA", at positions 29 to 507 of the family's 1533-position model. The record is from RNAcentral.